RNAcentral lists this ribosomal RNA (495 nucleotides) under uncultured bacterium. RNAcentral's name for it is "partial 16S ribosomal RNA". It matches the Rfam family "Bacterial small subunit ribosomal RNA", at positions 29 to 506 of the family's 1533-position model. The record is from RNAcentral.
AUGAACGCUGGCGGCGUGCCUAAUACAUGCAAGUCGAGCGCACAGACGAGGAGCUUGCUCCUCUGACGUUAGCGGCGGACGGGUGAGUAACACGUGGAUAACCUACCUAUAAGACUGGGAUAACUUCGGGAAACCGGAGCUAAUACCGGAUAAUAUAUUGAGCCGCAUGGUUCAAUAGUGAAAGACGGUUUUGCUGUCACUUAUAGAUGGAUCCGCGCCGCAUUAGCUAGUUGGUAAGGUAACGGCUUACCAAGGCAACGAUGCGUAGCCGACCUGAGAGGGUGAUCGGCCACACUGGAACUGAGACACGGUCCAGACUCCUACGGGAGGCAGCAGUAGGGAAUCUUCCGCAAUGGGCGAAAGCCUGACGGAGCAACGCCGCGUGAGUGAUGAAGGUCUUCGGAUCGUAAAACUCUGUUAUUAGGGAAGAACAAAUGUGUAAGUAACUAUGCACGUCUUGACGGUACCUAAUCAGAAAGCCACGGCUAACUACGU